UGGGGAAUAUUGCACAAUGGGCGAAAGCCUGAUGCAGCGACGCCGCGUGCGGGAUGAAGGCCUUCGGGUUGUAAACCGCUUUUGAUUGGGAGCAAGCGAGAGUGAGUGUACCUUUCGAAUAAGCACCGGCUAACUACGUGCCAGCAGCCGCGGUAAUACGUAGGGUGCAAGCGUUAUCCGGAAUUAUUGGGCGUAAAGAGCUCGUAGGCGGUUUGUCGCGUCUGGUGUGAAAGUCCAUCGCUUAACGGUGGAUCUGCGCCGGGUACGGGCAGGCUAGAGUGCGACAGGGGAGACUGGAAUUCCCGGUGUAACGGUGGAAUGUGUAGAUAUCGGGAAGAACACCAAUGGCGAAGGCAGGUCUCUGGGUCGU
Molecule: ribosomal RNA, 370 nt
Filed under: uncultured bacterium
Lineage: Bacteria
Description: partial 16S ribosomal RNA
Rfam family: Bacterial small subunit ribosomal RNA
Source: RNAcentral